AUUGAACGCUGGCGGCAGGCCUAACACAUGCAAGUCGAACGGUAGCACAGAGAGCUUGCUCUCGGGUGACGAGUGGCGGACGGGUGAGUAACGUCUGGGAAACUGCCCGAUGGAGGGGGAUAACUACUGGAAACGGUAGCUAAUACCGCAUAACGUCGCAAGACCAAAGUGGGGGACCUUCGGGCCUCACACCAUCGGAUGUGCCCAGAUGGGAUUAGCUAGUAGGUGGGGUAAUGGCUCACCUAGGCGACGAUCCCUAGCUGGUCUGAGAGGAUGACCAGCCACACUGGAACUGAGACACGGUCUAGACUCCUACGGGAGGCAGCAGUGGGGAAUAUUGCACAAUGGGCGCAAGCCUGAUGCAGCCAUGCCGCGUGUAUGAAGAAGGCCUUCGGGUUGUAAAGUACUUUCAGCGGGGAGGAAGGCGGUGAAGUUAAUAGCUUCACCGAUUGACGUUACCCGCAGAAGAAGCACCGGCUAACUCCGUGCCAGCAGCCGCCGCAG
This 504-nucleotide ribosomal RNA is filed under the name uncultured bacterium. RNAcentral describes it as "partial 16S ribosomal RNA". It matches the Rfam family "Bacterial small subunit ribosomal RNA", at positions 30 to 523 of the family's 1533-position model. The record is from RNAcentral.